UGCUCUGUAAGAACAUGGUGAGGAUAGUGGGUUAGUGAGUCUGUGCUGUGCUGACAGGUGCAGAUACUGAUGCCCUUUGUGUCAGACCUGGAUUCCUGGAGAGGGAGAAGAAGCUGAAGGCUCAGGAGGAGGUCAAAGACAUAAGGGGCCUUAAAGAUGCAUUCGUCCCAGUCAUCAAAUUGAUCUUUGAUGGGAAUGAGAUUGACUUAGUCUUUGCACGGGUGCCACGGAGGAGCAUUCCUGGCUCUGGAUCUGGAUCUGGAUCUUCUCAACGAC
This is a long non-coding RNA of Scatophagus argus, 276 nucleotides long. RefSeq lists it as uncharacterized. The transcript is spliced from 3 exons. Lineage: Eukaryota; Metazoa; Chordata; Actinopteri; Scatophagidae. The record is from RefSeq and is a predicted model, not a curated record.